GCAGGGCUGCCUCUGAGCUGCUGCUCUGGGCACACUGCCCGAUCUCCCAGUGCCUCUGCUGCUGCCCUGCACUGCGGCUGCAAUCAAACACCACCAGCUUGCCCUUGAAUUCUUUCCUGGGUGAAGCCAAGAACCCUCCCAGGCUAAGCCCUGAUUCUGGGGCUUGCCUGCCCUACAUCACCUUAACCCCAAACUGGGGCUCUAGGAAUUCCUGUUUCCAUCAGCAACAGUUAUUUUCCCCAGAGAUCCCAAAGCAGACCAAAAGAGGCAAAGCAGUGGGGAAAAAACAAGCCCACUCCAUUUGCAAUGCUCUUCUGCUCAUUUCCACCAGGUAAAAUCCAUAUCAAAAGCCCCCAGGGGAUGCUGGGGAGAUGUGGGCUGGGGAAGAGCAGUUCAGGCUUCCCCUCCAGUGGGUUGAUGCAGAUAGCAGGAGGCUGAUGAAACCUGCUGAGGACAGAUCAAAAGAUGCUAUCUCAUUAUGGGGCUUCCAGAUCAUGGCAGAUUACCCUUAUGUCUGCUUUAGCCCAUAUAUAUAUAUUUAGACAGAGUCUCACUCUGUCACCCAGGCUGGAGUGCAAUGGCAUGGUCUUGGCUCACUGCAACCUCCACCUCCUGGGUUCAAGUGAUUCUCAUAUUUUAACCUCCCGAGUAGCUGAGAUUACAAGCAUGCGCCCAUAUGUCCAGCUAAUUUUUAUGUAUAUAUUCGUUUAUUUAUUUAUUUUUUAAGACAGUCUCACUCUGUUGCCCAGGCUCGACUGCAGUGGCUUGAUCUCGGCUCACUGCAACCUCUGUCUCCUGAGGUUCAAACAAUUCUCCUGCCUCAGCCUCCCGAGUAGCUGGGAUUACAGGCGCCCACCAUUAUGCUCAGCUAAUUUUUUGUAUUUUUAGUAGAGACGGGGUUUCUCCAUGUUGGCCAGGCUUGUCUUGAACUCCUGACCUCAUGAUUCGCCCGCCUCAGCCUCCCAAAGUGCUGGGAUUACAGGCAUGAGCCACGGCGCCUGGCCAAUUUUUGUGUUUUUAGUAGAGAUGGGGUUUCACCGCGUUGGCCAGGCUGGUCUGAAACUCCUGGCCUCAAGUGAUCCACCCGCCUCAGCCUCCCAAAGUGUUGGGAUUACAGGCGUGAGCCGCAGCACCCAGCCUGCCUUAGCCCAUAUUUUACAUGAUUGCUAAGGGUCUGGGUGUCUGGAGACGGGGUGAUGCGCAGCCAGGUUAGAGACCUGCCUUUUUCAACCAAGCUCUGCUGUGCCCAAGUGCACAAGGCACCCCUCGGCCUGCAUUCCCUUGGAAGUCUUUGGCCGCAUAAAUGUUAUCACAAAUCUGGGUUCCUGACGGUGGUAGAUACCAGCCUGAACUAUGCACGAGGCCCGACAGCUCUCAGAAGAAGGCUGGUUUGAAUUUCUGAAGCCAAACCAAACACUGGCUCAAAAACAUUUUCUUAUUAUCUCAUUCCCUGACUACGGAAAAAUCACCCCAUUGAAAAACCACAAGCCCGCCCAAGUUUUAAAUUAAACCUCUUGAGUUUUCCCUGUGAGAGCAGAUAAAAUCCUUCCAGCUUAUGUUUUAAGGAAAGAAUUUGGGGUGUGUGUGUGCGUGUCUGUGUAUUUCCCCUAAACCCAUGUUCUUUUGUUGGGUUCCUGAGCACUCUGUUGAAAUAUUUCACUUGAGGACAUCAUUACAUUUCAUGGAUGUUGAAGUAUCCUUCCAGGAGCAGCUACUCCAUGGCUGCUUGGAUUUAGAAUGCAGCUCUUUUGGGAAGGAAGAGAUAAGUCCUCUUCCAAGAAGUAAGCUUCCCAGAGUGGCCUUGAAAGGCUUAGAUGAGAUUCUUACAAGAGGUAUUCAGUCCCCACCCACGUAUUUGUUCAUUAGAUGCCGACCGUAGGCUCUGAAAAUCCACCGUGUGAAAAAUCUCAAGCUGUAGGCUGGCAAGGAGAUUGAGAAGACAGAGAGGGUUUUGUUCCUCAGCUGGCGUCAGAAGAAGCCUAAGCUCUACUCUUGGCCCCACUCAGAGCAGCUGGGCUAAUGCUGGCCCAUGUCUUUGCCUCUCAGCAUCUCAGUUGCCUUAUCCCUAAAGGAGGAAUGCGCAUAGGGGCUCCUACUACAGAAUUCCCAAUAGCGAAAGCCUGAGAAGAUGCUACUACUAUACUGUUGUGCAGUCAUUCAACAAACAUUCGCUGAACACCUACUGUGUGCUGGAUUCUGUUUUAGGCACUUGGGAGACAGCAGGAAACUAGACAAGCAGCAUCCCUGCCUGCCUGGUGCUAACAUUCUGGAAGGUGGAAAAACUCGUCUUUCGAAAGCUAGGAAUCAUUUCUGAUUUUGUUUUGGAAGUGACGUUGGGCUUUUGAUGGUGCCUGAACUCCUACUUGCGGCCGGGCGUGGCGGCUCACGCCUGUAAUCCCAGCACUUUCGGAGGCCAGAGGCAAGACAGGCAGUGUCAACAAGCAGAGCUGCUGGGGCACGGCGAUAGGGACCGGAAGGGAGUGGAGUGAAGUGACCGUGACAGAGGGAGUGCCUGCCACAUCUAAAGACUAUGGAAAUGAUGUUAGACAAAAAGCAAAUUUGAGUGAUUUUCUUACUCGAGUUCAAAAUGGGUCAUAAAGCAGCAGAGACAACGCGCAACAUCAACAACACGUUUAGCCCUGGAACUGCUAACGAACAUACAGUACAGUGGUGUAAUUACAAUUACAUCUGAGAAGUAUGCUCAGCAGAUCGAUGAGACACAUUGAAAACUGCAGCGCCUGCAGCUGGCAUUGGCCAACAGAAAGGGCCCAAUUCUUCUCCACGACAACGCCUGACUGCACGUCACACAACCAGCGCUUCAAAAGUUGAACUAAUUGGGCUACGAAGUUUUGCCUCAUCUGCCAUAUUCACUUGACCUCUCCCCAACCGACUACCACUUCUUCAAGCAUCUCGACAACUUUUUGCAGGGAAAACGCUUCCACAACCAGCAGGAUGCAGAAAGCGCUUUCCAAGAGUUCAUCGAAUCCCAAAGCACAGAUUUUUACACUACAGGAAUAAAUGAACAUUUCUUCUUGGCAAAAAAUGACUUGAUUGUAAUCGUUCUUAUUUUGAUUAAUAAAGAUGUGUCUGAGCCUAGUUAUAAUGAUUUAAAAUUCAUGGUCCAAAACCGCAAUUACUUUUGCACUAGCCUGCAACCUGUACAACAAACCCCCAUGACACAAGUCUACCUACGUAACAAACCUGCGCAUGCGCCCCUGAACUUAAAAUAAAAGUUAAAAAAAAAAAAAAGACUAGAGAGGAGCCUAUAUUUCCACUGAAAGGAAGGAGAGGUUGGGGAAUAGGAAUAAUUCUGCACAGGAACAAGAAAGCGAAUGCAAGGAAAUUUUCAGACCAGUCUCUUUGCCCGAGUCUUUAAAAGUUUUUGUUAGGGGUCAUGAAGUUUGAAAUGUGUCUUAAGGAGGGAUGGAUUACUUGGAAUAAAUUGCCUCUAUGAGACAGUGUGAUAUGAUGUGAUAUGAGGGACUGUGGAGUCACGUGGGGUGGGGGUAGGAGGAGGAGGAGGAUUAAAAUCUACACACGGAGUACAGUGUACACAACUAGGGAGACGGGAGCACUAAAAGCUCAGACUUCACCACUGUACAAUUCAUCCAUGUAAUCAAAAUCCACGUGUACCCCAAAAGCUCCUGAAAUUAAAAAGCAAAUUCACAGGUGUCAACUUAGCGACAGAACCUGACAUUUUGUUGACAAGUUGACUGCAACGUACAGCAUCUCCUGGAGGAUCUGCUUUUACGGCGUAGCGAUGGCAGGGCUUCUGCUUCUGGAAGGUGGAGCAGGUGCAUUCACGCCCUUCUCUGUCUUCCUCCAACGACAUAAACUAAAAGCUGUAAGCAUGGCAGAUGCUUGAUCCGCCCCUCCUCCCAUGUGAGAUGCUGCCUCGAGAGCUGCACAAAGACCCCUCUGUGAAGCCCCUUAGCGAUCCCACAAGGAAAAUAGCACGACCAUCCUGUUCUACAGAUGGGGCAACUUGAGGCUCAGAGAGGCCAGGCGACUUGCCCAGUGUCACACACAGUCUGCCAUUGGUUGUAGAGUCAGGAUGUGAACCCAAGUUUGUCUCACUCAGAGCCCGCACUCUGAGCUGCCUGCCUCUGCUUCUCGGAUUCCAGCCUUGGUUUUGUGUGAGUCCCGGGCACACUGUAGGUGCUGAACUCAUUGCUGAAUGCACACAUCCAGCAGAUGUUUAGUGAGCACCUACUGUGUGCCAGGCAGUGUUCUAGGCACUGCGGA
Long non-coding RNA from Pan troglodytes (chimpanzee), 4245 nucleotides. RefSeq lists it as uncharacterized. The record is from RefSeq and is a predicted model, not a curated record. The transcript is spliced from 3 exons. Lineage: Eukaryota; Metazoa; Chordata; Mammalia; Primates; Hominidae.